Long non-coding RNA from Oryctolagus cuniculus (rabbit), 435 nucleotides. RefSeq lists it as uncharacterized. The record is from RefSeq and is a predicted model, not a curated record. NCBI's taxonomy places the organism in Eukaryota, Metazoa, Chordata, Mammalia, Lagomorpha, Leporidae.
GUCGUAAGCGGCGCUGCGGCCUCGGUUGGGGAGGAGUGAGGCCUCCACGUUCCGUACUCACCUGCGAGGUGUCCUGCGCGGACGGGAGCGAUGUCCGAGAAAAAGCAGCCGGUCGACUUGGGUCUCCUCGAGGAGGAUGACGAGUUCGAGGAGUUCCCUGCCGAAGACUGGGCUGGUUUAGAUGAAGAUGAAGAUGCACAUGUCUGGGAGGAUAAUUGGGAUGAUGACAAUGUCGAGGAUGACUUCUCCAAUCAGUUGCGAGCUGAACUGGAGAAACAUGGUUACAAGAUGGAGACUUCAUAACUUUCAGAAGAAAUUUUGAAGUAACCUAAACUUGAACUGUUGACUAAAUUCUAGGAUGGAGAACCCAGGAUCUGCUUGGAUUUAUUUUUGUUUUUGUAGCACAAGAAAAAUAAAUGUUUUGCUCUAAGUUUG